Molecule: ribosomal RNA, 200 nt
Filed under: uncultured bacterium
Lineage: Bacteria
Description: partial 16S ribosomal RNA
Rfam family: Bacterial small subunit ribosomal RNA
Source: RNAcentral
UACGGAGGGUGCGAGCGUUAAUCGGAAUUACUGGGCGUAAAGGGUGCGUAGGUGGUUUAGUAAGUUGGCUGUGAAAUUCCUGGGCUUAACCUAGGGCGGUCAGCCAAAACUACUAGACUAGAGUAUGGGAGAGGGUAGUGGAAUUUCCGGUGUAGCGGUGAAAUGCGUAGAGAUCGGAAGGAACACCAGUGGCGAAGGCG